RNAcentral lists this unclassified non-coding RNA (212 nucleotides) under uncultured Tricholomataceae. Its description in RNAcentral is "sequence contains ITS1". The record is from RNAcentral. Lineage: Eukaryota; Fungi; Basidiomycota; Agaricomycetes; Agaricales; Tricholomataceae.
CUGAAGGAAUGGUAGAGUUGAGCUGGCUCCUUAGGAGUAUGUGCUCGCUCCAUCGCUUUUUCUACUCUCCACUGUGCACCUCUUGUAGGCUACGAUGUUUCAGAGGGCUUUAGCAGUUCACUUGCUUCGCUUCGACUUCGUAGUCUAUGUCUUACACACUCUGUCAAAGUAUAUGAAUGUGUAUUGUUGGUCUUUGACCGAUAAACUAUAUA